GCCUGUGUGGCUUAGUCGGUUAAGCGUCUGACUUUGGCUCAGGUCACGAUCUCACGGUUUGUGAGUUCGAGCCCCGCGUCCGGCU
This is a transfer RNA of Felis catus (domestic cat), 85 nucleotides long. It matches the Rfam family "tRNA". From Rfam's summary of the family: Transfer RNA (tRNA) molecules are approximately 80 nucleotides in length. Their secondary structure includes four short double-helical elements and three loops (D, anti-codon, and T loops). Lineage: Eukaryota; Metazoa; Chordata; Mammalia; Carnivora; Felidae. The record is from Rfam.